GUUUCGAAAGGAACGCUAAUACCGCAUACGUCCUACGGGAGAAAGCAGGGGACCUUCGGGCCUUGCGCUAUCAGAUGAGCCUAGGUCGGAUUAGCUAGUUGGUGAGGUAAUGGCUCACCAAGGCGACGAUCCGUAACUGGUCUGAGAGGAUGAUCAGUCACACUGGAACUGAGACACGGUCCAGACUCCUACGGGAGGCAGCAGUGGGGAAUAUUGGACAAUGGGCGAAAGCCUGAUCCAGCCAUGCCGCGUGUGUGAAGAAGGUCUUCGGAUUGUAAAGCACUUUAAGUUGGGAGGAAGGGUUGUAGAUUAAUACUCUGCAAUUUUGACGUUACCGACAGAAUAAGCACCGGCUAACUCUGUGCCAGCAGCCGCGGUAAUACAGAGGGUGCAAGCGUUAAUCGGAAUUACUGGGCGUAAAGCGCGCGUAGGUGGUUUGUUAAGUUGGAUGUGAAAUCCCCGGGCUCAACCUGGGAACUGCAUCCAAAACUGGCAAGCUAGAGUAUGGUAGAGGGUGGUGGAAUU
RNAcentral lists this ribosomal RNA (525 nucleotides) under Pseudomonas sp. GA76-2. RNAcentral's name for it is "bacterial SSU rRNA". It matches the Rfam family "Bacterial small subunit ribosomal RNA", at positions 148 to 668 of the family's 1533-position model. The record is from RNAcentral. Lineage: Bacteria; Pseudomonadati; Pseudomonadota; Gammaproteobacteria; Pseudomonadales; Pseudomonadaceae.